This 256-nucleotide ribosomal RNA is filed under the name uncultured bacterium. Its description in RNAcentral is "partial 16S ribosomal RNA". It matches the Rfam family "Bacterial small subunit ribosomal RNA", at positions 793 to 1055 of the family's 1533-position model. The record is from RNAcentral.
GUCCACGCCGUAAACGAUGGAUACUAGCUGUUGGAAGCAAUUUCAGUGGCUAAGCGAAAGUGAUAAGUAUCCCACCUGGGGAGUACGUUCGCAAGAAUGAAACUCAAAGGAAUUGACGGGGGCCCCGCACAAGCGGUGGAGCAUGUGGUUUAAUUCGAUGAUACGCGAGGAACCUUACCAAGGCUUAAAUGUAGAUUGACCGUUUUGGAAACAGAACUUUCGCAAGACAAUUUACAAGGUGCUGCAUGGUUGUCGU